GUGGGGAAUAUUGGACAAUGGGCGAAAGCCUGAUCCAGCCAUGCCGCGUGUGUGAAGAAGGUCUUCGGAUUGUAAAGCACUUUAAGUUGGGAGGAAGGGCAGUAAGUUAAUACCUUGCUGUUUUGACGUUACCGACAGAAUAAGCACCGGCUAACUUCGUGCCAGCAGCCGCGGUAAUACGAAGGGUGCAAGCGUUAAUCGGAAUUACUGGGCGUAAAGCGCGCGUAGGUGGUUUUGUAAGUUGGAGGUGAAAUCACCGGGCUCAACCUGGGAACUGCCUCCAAAACUGCAUGACUAGAGUACGGUAGAGGGUAGUGGAAUUUCCUGUGUAGCGGUGAAAUGCGUAGAUAUAGGAAGGAACACCAGUGGCGAAGGCGACUACCUGGACUGAUACUGACACUGAGGUGCGAAAGCGUGGGGAGCAAACAGGAUUAGAAACCCGAGUAGUCC
This 450-nucleotide ribosomal RNA is filed under the name uncultured bacterium. RNAcentral describes it as "partial 16S ribosomal RNA". It matches the Rfam family "Bacterial small subunit ribosomal RNA", at positions 354 to 796 of the family's 1533-position model. The record is from RNAcentral.